Long non-coding RNA from Agrilus planipennis (emerald ash borer), 1683 nucleotides. RefSeq lists it as uncharacterized. Lineage: Eukaryota; Metazoa; Arthropoda; Insecta; Coleoptera; Buprestidae. The transcript has 4 exons. The record is from RefSeq and is a predicted model, not a curated record.
CCAUGACUGACAGGGGGGAAGAUCUAGUUAGAAUAAGAAAAAUUCAUUAUCUUCAUUUCUAAUGCUCUCCUUUUUGUUUUUAUCAUCUCUCUCACUCUUGUACUCGAUUAUUUUUAGAGUUGUUAUCAGGCGAUGGAACUUGCAAAAACACAUAUAUUUCAAUUUUAUUAAAUGGGAUUGAAAUCAGCUACGCGAUUGGUUAAAUUACGAAAUAUUUGCCGCGAACCGUCGCAGAAAUCUAAUGUGAUGCUUCUGCUCAGCGUUAUAUUACGUCAUUGGUGCUUCAUGCAGUAGCUUUCGCAAAUCUGUUCAUACUGUUCAUUACUACGUUUACCAGGUUGUUUUGGGUGUGGCGAUAUCUCUUACGAUUAAAUUCAAUUUACUGAAUUUAUUUUCCAUGUAAUUAGCUUUAUUUUAUUGCAAAUAACUACCUCGGGUUAGCAUUUUUCUGUUAAAUGAGUUAAAGGUGUUAAAUUCAUACAGGCUGGUUUGUGAAGUGAAUUAUCUAAUAAUCAAAUUGUUUUAAAAGUGACGACUCUCCGCCAUUUUAAAAUUUCAUUAUUUUACUUAAUUUUGGGUGCUUGUUUUUAUUUUGUGUCAUAUUUUAUUUAUUUAAUGCAUUUUCCAGUUUCAAAACAUGCACGUUUUAAGCUAAAUUAACUAAGUAUGUCUAAAUACCUUUUCAUUUUAUAGGAACAUCAUAAAAACUCCAGAUGUAAUGUGUUACAGAGUAUUCCUCAUAUUAGUCCUUUUUCAUUCCAUGAUAUAGCAUACAUAAAAGGCCCAUGUAAAUGAUUUUUUCAACUGGAAACAGAUACAGUGUGCUACUCUUGCAAACAACUAAAUGACUUGCUUAGAGACGACAUCCUUGGAUUAUAUGGGCGCACUACUUUGAUUUAUUUUUAUUUCCAAAAAUGCUUCUGAUGUGCAGGUUUCUAUGAAAACAUAAUAAACACAGCAAUCGAAAUGUGGAGAAACACAGCCCCACUCACACUUCGCUCUCUUGGACUUGGAAUGGAGUCAUUUGCGGAAAAGGUUAUCAUUUAAACUUAUUAAAUGAACAAGGAGACAAAAAAUGAGAAGGAUUCAAAAUGUGGAGAAGUGGAGCCCUGUUAGUGUUCCAUCCUUUUAGACUUACAAAGUGCAAUUUCAACAAACAAAGUCCAAUACAUAUUGGUGUACUUAGGAAUAAAAGUUGAGCAUCGUACAGUUAUCCUCGGUAUCGUCUAAAUGAUGAGAAAGAGAGAAUUAAAGUUCACAUUGAUGGUACUGAAACAGCCAAGGUCUUGUUUUGAUUUGGUGUUUUCGUCUUCAUCUUGCAACAUUAUGCAUUUAAUUUUCAACAGUUGAGUGAGAGGAAAAGGAGAUUCCACUGAAACAAGUUUUCUGCUAUGAUAUUCCUUCUGGAUUUAGUUUGCUUUUCACACAUGCAAACUUGGGAACGUUUACAGUAGUCUACUGUUUGCUAAGGUGAGAGUAUUUAAUAUAAUCAGUAUUAAUUGCUCUUUAUUAAUCUGUUACCACUGUAUCUGUUUCAGAUCGACGCUGGAGAAGAAAAAGAAGACCCCGUAGUUAAAAUAGUUCUUUUGUCUUGCAUGCUCCACCUAAUAGAAAUAAUUCUUUUAAUCCAAAUUCAGAUUAAUUUUUUAUUUUGCGUGUUUUUUUUGUAGUUAAUUUGAAUUA